CAGGCGGUGAUAAUGUGUACAGUGCUAUUUCAGAGGCCAAUCUAAUCAGGGACAAUAUUUGGGAAAAUACAUAUGCCCAACUAUUAGAGCUGACGUCGAGAAUCCUCUGUCGAGCCGAUCCAUAUUAUUAUCAAUGGUGACUCGCCCUGCAAACAGGUGUUGCUCAAUGGUGAGUCUAGAAACUGCCAUAAUCCAUCACAAUUCCCCUGUAUCAUGUACGUUUCCAGUUAGGUACGUGACUUCAACAUAGGAUCUCAGGAGCUGAGGAAGGGAAUAUGAAAAGCCAUAUAUCAUAUAUAUACCAGCUAUGAAAGAAGAGAAAGAUGGCAGCACUUGUGGCCAUGCUUUUUAGCAGUAGUCGUAGCUAAGUUGGUUAUUGCCAAUGACAAUACCUUCUUAUGUGACUCCUCUUUCUCCCCAACGCCUCAGCACGAGGAGGAAUAUGUCGACGGAAAGACAGGGCCAAUUUGGGAUUUUGUCGCCGACGAGCCCUUCCAUAAUCAUCAGCCCAGCCGAGAGGAAUGGAAUGCCAAGAUGAAGAGAUAUGGCCCUCAAACAGGGAGGGGACAUAUAUUUAAAGGAG
RNAcentral lists this small RNA (583 nucleotides) under Histoplasma capsulatum var. duboisii H88. RNAcentral's name for it is "Histoplasma capsulatum H88 hypothetical RNA". The record is from RNAcentral. Lineage: Eukaryota; Fungi; Ascomycota; Eurotiomycetes; Onygenales; Ajellomycetaceae.